RNAcentral lists this ribosomal RNA (497 nucleotides) under uncultured bacterium. RNAcentral's name for it is "partial 16S ribosomal RNA". It matches the Rfam family "Bacterial small subunit ribosomal RNA", at positions 28 to 507 of the family's 1533-position model. The record is from RNAcentral.
GAUGAACGCUGGCGGCGUGCCUAAUACAUGCAAGUCGAGCGAACGGACGAGAAGCUUGCUUCUCUGAUGUUAGCGGCGGACGGGGGAGUAACACGUGGAUAACCUACCUAUACGACUGGGAUAACUUCGGGACACCGUAGCUAAUACCGGAUAAUAUUUUGACCCGCAUGGUUCAAGAGUGAAAGACGGUCUUGCUGUCACUUAUAGAUGGAUCCGCGCUGCAUUAGCUAGUUGGUAGGGUAACGGCUUACCAAGGCAACGAUGCAUAGCCGACCUGAGAGGGUGAUCGGCCACACUGGAACUGAGACACGGUCGAGACUCCGACGGGAGGCAGCAGUAGGGAAUCUUACGCAAUGGGGGAGAGCCUGACAGAGCAACGCCGCGGGAGUGAUGAAGGUCUUCGGAUCGUAAAACUCUGUUAUUAGGGAAGAACAUAUGUGUAAGUAACUGUGCACAUCUUGACGGUACCUAAUCAGAAAGCCACGGCUAACUACGUG